This 72-nucleotide transfer RNA is filed under the name Toxocara canis (dog roundworm). It matches the Rfam family "tRNA". Rfam says of the family: Transfer RNA (tRNA) molecules are approximately 80 nucleotides in length. Their secondary structure includes four short double-helical elements and three loops (D, anti-codon, and T loops). Further hydrogen bonds mediate the characteristic L-shaped molecular structure. tRNAs have two regions of fundamental functional importance: the anti-codon, which is responsible for specific mRNA codon recognition, and the 3' end, to which the tRNAs corresponding amino acid is attached (by aminoacyl-tRNA synthetases). tRNAs cope with the degeneracy of the genetic code in two manners: having more than one tRNA (with a specific anti-codon) for a particular amino acid; and 'wobble' base-pairing, i.e. permitting non-standard base-pairing at the 3rd anti-codon position. The record is from Rfam by way of RNAcentral. Lineage: Eukaryota; Metazoa; Nematoda; Chromadorea; Rhabditida; Toxocaridae.
GGAGCAGUAGCUCAGUGGUAGAGCUUCCUCCUCGUACGCGGGAAGACAUGGGUUCGAUUCCUGGGUGCUUUU